Molecule: long non-coding RNA, 360 nt
Filed under: Homo sapiens (human)
Lineage: Eukaryota; Metazoa; Chordata; Mammalia; Primates; Hominidae
Description: non-protein coding lnc-NAA40-1:1
Source: RNAcentral
ACAGGCACAUGCCACCACACCUGGCUAAUUUUUUUAUUUCUAGUAGAGACGGGGUUUCACCAUGUUGGCCAGGUUGGUCUCAAACUCCUGACUUCAGGUGAUCUUCCCGCCUUGGCCUCCCGAAGUGCUGGGAUUACAGGGAUGAGCCACUGCGCCUGGCCUUAUUUUUAAAAUUUAUUUGUUUUGAGACAGAGUCUCUCUCUGUCACCCAGGCUGGAGUGCAGUGGCAUGAUCUGGGCUCACUGCAGCCUCUGUCCCCCAGGUUCAAGCAAUUCUCCUGCCUCAGCCUCCUGAGUAGCUGGGAUUACAGGCACCUGCCACUGUGCCUGGCUACUUUUUGUAUUUUUAGUAGAGACAGGU